GACGGUUUUGCUGCCACUUAUAGAUGGAUCCGCGCCGCAUUAGCUAGUUGGCAAGGUAACGGCUUACCAGGGCAACGAUGCGUACCCGACCUGAGAGGGUGAUCGGCCACACUGGAACUGAGACACGGUCCAGACUCCUACGGGAGGCAGCAGUAGGGAAUCUUCCGCAAUGGGCGAAAGCCUGACGGAGCAACGCCGCGUGAGUGAUGAAGGUCUUCGGAUCGUAAAACUCUGUUAUUAGGGAAGAACAAUUGUGUAAGUAACUAUGCACGUCUUGACGGUACCUAAUCAAAAAGCCACGGCUAACUACGUGCCAGCAGCCGCGGUAAUACGUAGGUGGCAAGCGUUAUCCGGAAUUAUUGGGCGUA
Molecule: ribosomal RNA, 368 nt
Filed under: Staphylococcus sp.
Lineage: Bacteria; Bacillati; Bacillota; Bacilli; Caryophanales; Staphylococcaceae
Description: bacterial SSU rRNA
Rfam family: Bacterial small subunit ribosomal RNA
Source: RNAcentral